Molecule: ribosomal RNA, 1834 nt
Filed under: human gut metagenome
Description: bacterial LSU rRNA
Rfam family: Bacterial large subunit ribosomal RNA
Source: RNAcentral
GCCAGGAGGUUGGCUCAGAAGCAGCCACCCUUGAAAGAGUGCGUAACAGCUCACUGGUCUAGUGGUUCCGCGCCGACAAUGUAGCGGGGCUCAAGCACACCACCGAAGACGCGGCAGUAUUUUGUACUGGGUAGGAGAGCGUCCCAUGAGGGGCGAAGCGGCCGUGUGAACGCGCCGUGGACUUCAUGGGAGUGAGAAUGCAGACAUGAGUAGCGAGAGACGGGUGAAGAUCCCGUCCGCUGGAUGACCAAGGGUUCCAGGGCCACGUUCAUCGUCCCUGGGUGAGUCGGGUCCUAAGGCGAGGCCGACAGGCGUAGUCGAAUGGAUGAACGGGUCGAUAUUCCCGUACCGGCUUUCAGCCGCCAAAACCGAGGCUUGGAGUACUAACCUCCGGGUCCGGGCUUACUGCUCCUUCGGGGGCGGGAUGCCCUGGCCUGUUGGGACCGAUCCUUGUAGUAGGUCAGCGCAGGAGUGACGCAGAAGGGUAGCCGGCCGCGGAGGUGGUCUUCCGUGGUCAAGCACGCAGGGCGUGGGACAGGCAAAUCCGUCCCGCAUGGGUCCGAGGUGCGAUGAUGGGGGCCUUAUGGCCCGAUAUCCGGUGAUCCCGGCUGCCGAGAAAAGCUUCGGCGUCAGGCUCGAAGCCGCCCGUACCCCAAACCGACACUGGUGGUCAGGUAGAGAAUACCAAAGCGAUCGAGCGAAUCCUGGUCAAGGAACUCGGCAAAUCACUCCCGUUCCUUCGGUUUAAGGGAGACCCCCGAUGGUGAACACGCUUGCUGUGGGAGCUUUUGGGGGUGGCACAGACCAGGGGGUAGCGACUGUUUACCAAAAACACAGGUGCAUGCGAAGGCGCAAGCCGCUGUAUAUGCACUGACGCCUGCCCGGUGCCGGAAGGUUAAGAGGAUCCGUCAGCCAGGAGCUCGGCGAAAUUGCAGUACGAGUAAAGAUGCUCGUUAAGCGCAGAAGGACGAAAAGACCCCGGGACCUUUACUAUACCUUGGUAUUGGCAUUCGGUGUGGAUUGUGUAGCAUAGGCGGGAGGCCGAGAGGCGCGGUCGCCAGAUCGCGCGGAGCCGUAAGGUGAAAUACCGCUCUGUUCGCAUUGGAUGUCUAACCUCGAACAGUCAUCCUGUUCAGGGACAGUGCCUGGCGGGUAGUUUAACUGGGGCGGUUGCCUCCCAAAGAGUAACGGAGGCGCCCAAAGGUCCGCUCAGCCCGGUUGGCAAUCGGGUGGCGAGUGCAAGUGCACAAGCGGGCUUGACUGCGAGGACGACGGUCCGAGCAGGGACGAAAGUCGGGACUAGUGAUCCGGUGCCGGUGUACGGACGCGGCAUCGCUCAACGGAUAAAAGGUACCCCGGGGAUAACAGGCUGAUCAUUCCCAAGAGUCCAUAUCGACUCCCAAGAGUCCAUAUCGACGGGAUGGUUUGGCACCUCGAUGUCGGCUCGUCGCAUCCUGGGGCUGGAGCAGGUCCCAAGGGUUCGGCUGUUCGCCGAUCAAAGCGGCACGCGAGCUGGGUUCAGAACGUCGUGAGACAGUUUGGUCUCUAUCCUCUGCGCUCGUUGGAAUCUUGAGGAGGCCUGCCCAUAGUACGAGAGGACCUGGGUGGACGAACCUCUGGUAUGCCGGUCGUCACGCCAGUGGCGCGGCCGGUUGGCUACGUUCGGAAGGGAUAACCGCUGAAAGCAUCUAAGCGGGAAGCCUUCUCCAAGAUAAGGAUUCCAUGCGGCCCCGAGCCGCUGAAGACCCCAUGCAGAACACGUGGUCGAUAGGCCGGACGUGGAAGCCCCGCGAGGGGUGGAGCCGACCGGUACUAAUGGUCGAGAGGCAACCCA